Long non-coding RNA from Ceratina calcarata, 665 nucleotides. RefSeq lists it as uncharacterized. The record is from RefSeq and is a predicted model, not a curated record. The transcript is spliced from 3 exons. Lineage: Eukaryota; Metazoa; Arthropoda; Insecta; Hymenoptera; Apidae.
AGCAUAAUUUUGUGCCUCCGCACAAAUUCUGUCUAAGGAUGGAUGAGACACUUGGCACGUGGCCAGCAGUCCUUGGUUCAUGUUAAUAAGCGUCUGUAACAAUGCGUACGAAGCGGUAAUUCCGUGAACUGUAGAGUCGUGUGUAAAUCUACGCUAGCCGCCACGGCUGUCUUCCCGUACACCACCGCAUGCUCCCCGAAAAGAAUUACUUUCCCCGGUGCAGACACUUUGAAUUGAAUCAUUUUAAAUCCGGUGAACUUUGUCUACGGUGCUGUCAAGGAACCUAGUCUAACACAAAUACCUGUGACGUUGCAGCAAAGGUUUGCCUUCGAACGCGCUAGAAACGAUUGUCACAGAAAACUUAGCGCCGCAACCAUCAGACUCAUCUGUGACUUCCUACAAGAUUUGAAAACGUUCCUUAUUUGACUGGUAAUUAUACAGUGGAUAUUAAAUUCGUAUUAUAAUUCUUUAAGUAACUAUUAAUACAGCAACACGUCUCGAGCCUAACUCUCUGUUAAACGAUCUGAGGUAUACUGGGAGGAAAAGCAGCAUGCGAUCGUGCUUGAUCUCUCGCGUAAUAUUGUUAUGGUAAUUUAGUAAAGCAAUACUUAGUACUAGAUCAAAGUUCAAGUAUAUAAAAAUAAAAUUAUCUAAUACAUCAUAGA